UGCCUGCUAAGUAUUAAGGUACCGUCUGGCUUCUCGUCGAAUAUAAAGGGAAUAAUAAACAUGGCAGAGAAAAAGUUCCAGAACCUAAAGUCUCAUGACUGCCACAUGAUUAUGACGCAACUGCUUCCGGUUGCAUUGAGGGGGCUUCUAUCGGAUAACGUUCGAUUAGCCAUUGUGAAGCUAUGUGCAUUCCUCAAUGCAAUCUCUCAGAAGGUAAUCGAUCCAAAAAUCAUACCAAGGUUAGAGAAUGAUUUGGUGCAAUGUCUUGUCAUUUUCGAGUUGGUGUUCCCACCAUCCUUGUUCAACAUCAUGACGCACGUCCUAGUUCACCUAUGCGAAGAGAUUAGCGUUUUGGGUCCUGUAUUUCUACACAAU
This 375-nucleotide ribosomal RNA is filed under the name Triticum aestivum (bread wheat). Its description in RNAcentral is "partial small subunit ribosomal RNA". Lineage: Eukaryota; Viridiplantae; Streptophyta; Magnoliopsida; Poales; Poaceae. The record is from RNAcentral.